Molecule: long non-coding RNA, 1051 nt
Organism: Equus caballus (horse)
Lineage: Eukaryota; Metazoa; Chordata; Mammalia; Perissodactyla; Equidae
Source: Ensembl
GACACCAAACGGGAGCAGAGUCACCACAAAGGCCACAGCUCUGAGCACGGAGAAAGGUCUUCUUGAGACUUCCUCUGAAGCUCAGUGAAUGAUCUGUUCUCAGCGGUAAGGGAUUAAACAAAGGGCCAAUUGUCAAAAACCCCAGCCAGGGACCAGCCAAGCUUCCUGUGCAGCCAUGAGUGCCUGAGGCGGCCUUUUGUUCUGAGAGGACACCACAUAGCCUCCGCCUCCCCUGGAGUCAGAAAACCAGUCAAGCAGGAAAGCACUGUUGAGAACCUACUCUGUGGAAGGUGCUGGGGGAACACAGAGAGGAAGGCCACCCAGAGCCCAGAAAACAGAGGCAACCGGCCAGUGUUUGCCAAAUGAAGGCUGACGGAGCUGAAUGCUUUGGUGAGAGAGGAAGGAGAUUACGCAUGUGCAAAACAUGGCAUCCGCUUUAAUAAACAGCGAUUCCACAAGGUAGGUGGCACCCCGACUGACAAGGAAACUGAGGACCAGCAAAGAAACAAUCCAAGGUGUGAAGAGAAGGGACUGGAACCGGGACGAGCCCGAUUCCAACACUGCACCUCUUUCCACUCAGCCGCGGAGAGAGUACAAGCACAAAGCAUGUAUUCCAAGGGGAGACUGACAGUCCGUCCUGCCCUCACGCUCCACUUUGAAAAUAACAACAGCAAAGCAUAAGAAAAGCCUCCAACCUGAUGUUAAGAGCUUCCAGUAAGGUUUAGCACAUUGAAUGCUCUGGAUGAUUUGAGACAAGUCACCUUGGGGUAGGAAACCUUGGAGGAUGGCAUGGCGGAAAGAGCGGAGGCUUCCAAAUCACAUGUGUCAAUUAUGAUGGCAGUAUAGAUGUUGGCAAUUUACUUAAUCUCUCUGAAAGUGUUUCAUUACAAAUGGAAAGACAGAACCUACCUUGCAGGCUUAUGGUGAGGAUUAAAAUAAUCUCUUUCACGUGGCUAACUUAUAUUCAAUAAAUGGUCCAUAUAUAGUAAUAAUAAAGCACAAUUCUUUUCUUUUUUUUCUAUUCUUUUAAUGGUUGCAAGAUCCAUAUGGG